Molecule: transfer RNA, 73 nt
Filed under: Amylolactobacillus amylophilus
Lineage: Bacteria; Bacillati; Bacillota; Bacilli; Lactobacillales; Lactobacillaceae
Also listed under: 1 other name
Description: tRNA-Gln
Rfam family: tRNA
About the family: Transfer RNA (tRNA) molecules are approximately 80 nucleotides in length. Their secondary structure includes four short double-helical elements and three loops (D, anti-codon, and T loops).
Source: RNAcentral
UGGGAUAUCGCCAAAUUGGUAAGGCAGUGGACUCUGAAUCCAUAAUGUCUCGGUUCGAUCCCGAGUAUCCCAA